UGGGGAAUUUUGGACAAUGGGGGCAACCCUGAUCCAGCCAUCCCGCGUGUGCGAUGAAGGCCUUCGGGUUGUAAAGCACUUUUGGCAGGGAAGAAACAGCCUGGGAUAAUACCCCGGGCGACUGACGGUACCUGCAGAAUAAGCACCGGCUAACUACGUGCCAGCAGCCGCGGUAAUACGUAGGGUGCAAGCGUUAAUCGGAAUUACUGGGCGUAAAGCGUGCGCAGGCGGUUCGGAAAGAAAGGUGUGAAAUCCCGGGGCUUAACCUUGGAACUGCACUUUUAACUACCGAGCUAGAGUACGUCAGAGGGGGGUAGAAUUCCACGUGUAGCAGUGAAAUGCGUAGAGAUGUGGAGGAAUACCGAUGGCGAAGGCAGCCCCUGGGAUGAUACUGACGCUCAUGCACGAAAGCGUGGGGAGCAAACAGGAUUAGAUACCCUGGUAGUCCACGCCCUAAACGAUGUCAACUAGCUGUUGGGGUUUAUUAACCUUAGUAGCGCAGCUAACGCGUGAAGUUGACCGCCUGGGGAGUACGGUCGCAAGAUU
This 546-nucleotide ribosomal RNA is filed under the name uncultured bacterium. RNAcentral's name for it is "partial 16S ribosomal RNA". It matches the Rfam family "Bacterial small subunit ribosomal RNA", at positions 355 to 895 of the family's 1533-position model. The record is from RNAcentral.